Molecule: ribosomal RNA, 547 nt
Filed under: Klebsiella pneumoniae
Lineage: Bacteria; Pseudomonadati; Pseudomonadota; Gammaproteobacteria; Enterobacterales; Enterobacteriaceae
Description: bacterial SSU rRNA
Rfam family: Bacterial small subunit ribosomal RNA
Source: RNAcentral
CAUGCAAGUCGAGCGGUAGCACAGAGAGCUUGCUCUCGGGUGACGAGCGGCGGACGGGUGAGUAAUGUCUGGGAAACUGCCUGAUGGAGGGGGAUAACUACUGGAAACGGUAGCUAAUACCGCAUAAUGUCGCAAGACCAAAGUGGGGGACCUUCGGGCCUCAUGCCAUCAGAUGUGCCCAGAUGGGAUUAGCUAGUAGGUGGGGUAACGGCUCACCUAGGCGACGAUCCCUAGCUGGUCUGAGAGGAUGACCAGCCACACUGGAACUGAGACACGGUCCAGACUCCUACGGGAGGCAGCAGUGGGGAAUAUUGCACAAUGGGCGCAAGCCUGAUGCAGCCAUGCCGCGUGUGUGAAGAAGGCCUUCGGGUUGUAAAGCACUUUCAGCGGGGAGGAAGGCGGUGAGGUUAAUAACCUUGGCGAUUGACGUUACCCGCAGAAGAAGCACCGGCUAACUCCGUGCCAGCAGCCGCGGUAAUACGGAGGGUGCAAGCGUUAAUCGGAAUUACUGGGCGUAAAGCGCACGCAGGCGGUCUGUCAAGUCGGA